Heterocephalus glaber (naked mole-rat) is the source of this 1729-nucleotide long non-coding RNA. The record is from Ensembl. NCBI's taxonomy places the organism in Eukaryota, Metazoa, Chordata, Mammalia, Rodentia, Bathyergidae.
AUUCAGCAAACAUCAGUUGACUAUCCAUUCAUGGCCUGACUAUGCUCCAGUGUGGCCUGGUUCCCAACAGGACUGGAACAGGGCUCUACCAUUGUCCUUUAGUCCUGGUGUGGAAAGGUUUGGGCAACAUGAGGCCGGCUGUCGGGAGCUGUGCAGGGCUCAGUGACAGGAGAGUGGUACAAUGCAGCCUGUACCUGUCAGCCCGGAAGUGCAGGAGCCAGGCAGGCUAAGGAAUUCUGCAGCACUCUGCACACCUCCGCUUCCAGUACACACUUCCAUGUGCCACCCACUCACCUUUCUCUUACUGUUACAGAUACCUGAGAUACUCAGCUUAGAGAGAAGGAAAGCUUAUUUUGGUGCAUGGCUUUAUUAUUAUUAUUAUUAUUAUUAUUUUAUUAUUUUGUACCGGGAUUGAACUCAAGACCUUGCGCUUGCGAGGCAGGCAUAUUAAUAUUAUUAUUAUUGGCUUUUUUGAGACAGGGUCUCAUUGUGCAGUUCAGGCUGGCCUCAAACUCACUUUGUACCCCAUGCUGGCCUGCAACUCAUCAUGUUCCUCCUGCCUCAGCUUCCCGAGUUCUGGGAUUACAGGCAUGUGCCAUCACGCACACGGCUGGGCUCGUGGUUUUCGAGCUGAGUCUGUGAUUGGUUGGCCCUGUUGCCUUGACAGGAACAUGUGGCAGGGCACAGCCGGUCAUCCUGUCUGUGUUUGGGGGACACCUGAGAUCCGAACCAGAGCACCCACUUUGCUGUACCCUCCCAGAGAUGCCUUGAAAGCGGAACUGUUGGACUCAUGUUGACCAGUGCUUGACCAGCGUCCAUUGCGAGCAUGAAUAAAGUCCAUUUACGCUUUCCCCAUGACUAACUCCUGAUCCUCCCAAGCCCUGGACUCCUAAAGAGCAACAGGGCCUCUGCUGUGCUGGAAGAGUCAGGGUUUGGCCUGACUGCUGAUUUCUUUCUGCUAAAUUUUACACCCCCUUUGCCACCUUCCCCCAGGACCCCGUGGGCCAUGAGAAUGGUAGAUGCUGAGACACAAGACUCCAAGAGCCAGCACAAGGAUGGAGGCUUGUGACACAGCGCGGUGGACAGGAGUGGAGGGGCCAGUCCUGCUUUGGCUCCUUUGAGCCGUGCGGCCUCAGCUGUAUUCCUAACCUCAUUGCUGCCAUGGUACAGUGGGGUCUCCAGACUCCACCUGGUUGGAUUGUGUGAGGACAGAGACCAGCAUAUGGAGAACCCAGGCUUUGGCCAAAGCCAGAUCAUUUCCACAGCACGAGAUGAACCACAUUUGGAAGAAGAACUGCUCCUGAACUUGGAGAACUAAAAACAAAACAAAAAAAUUUCUAAGAGUCUUAAAGGCACAGCAAGUUUGUAAAUUGGGUGACACCUCCGCCCUCAAGGAAGCCACAGUUAUUCAUGAGUAGCAGACCUCGACUUCAGCACACAUGGAAAUGGUUUGCAUGCCGACAUCGCCGGCCAGGUGGGUGACACCAGAUGGUCACCGUGACCAACAGCAGGAGCACACAGCCUGGAUCACCCAUCUUGAAGACACCCCAGGAACCCAUAAAUAAACCAGCUUUGGAUCAUAAGGUCGCUCUCUCUCUGGAGGGCCCAUGCUCUGUUUCUUUGAACCGUGGGACUGGCUUUGGCCAAGGGACAGCAGCGAAGGUCACGCGCACAUGGGCUUGGCGAGCACUUGUGCACGUGGACUUCUGUCUGCUUUUGUGGCACGUGG